RNAcentral lists this transfer RNA (74 nucleotides) under Candidatus Riesia sp. RNAcentral describes it as "tRNA-Leu". It matches the Rfam family "tRNA". Rfam says of the family: Transfer RNA (tRNA) molecules are approximately 80 nucleotides in length. The record is from RNAcentral. Lineage: Bacteria; Pseudomonadati; Pseudomonadota; Gammaproteobacteria; Enterobacterales; Enterobacteriaceae.
GCCGAAGUGACGGAAUUGGCAUACGUGACAGCCUUAGAAGCUGUAUUUUGUGGGUUCGAGUCCCACCUUCGGUA